RNAcentral lists this ribosomal RNA (358 nucleotides) under uncultured bacterium. Its description in RNAcentral is "bacterial SSU rRNA". It matches the Rfam family "Bacterial small subunit ribosomal RNA", at positions 8 to 353 of the family's 1533-position model. The record is from RNAcentral.
AGAGUUUGAUCCUGGCUCAGGAUGAACGCUAGCUACAGGCUUAACACAUGCAAGUCGAGGGGCAGCAUGGUCUUAGCUUGCUAAGGCCGAUGGCGACCGGCGCACGGGUGAGUAACACGUAUCCAACCUGCCGUCUACUCUUGGACAGCCUUCUGAAAGGAAGAUUAAUACAAGAUGGCAUCAUGAGUUCACAUGUUCACAUGAUUAAAGGUUUUCCGGUAGACGAUGGGGAUGCGUUCCAUUAGAUAGUAGGCGGGGUAACGGGCCCACCCUAGUCUUCGAUGGAUAGGGGUUCGUGAGAGGAAGGUCCCCCACCAUUGGAACUGAGACACGGUCCAAACUCCUACGGGAGGCAGCA